Long non-coding RNA from Acinonyx jubatus (cheetah), 3828 nucleotides. RefSeq lists it as uncharacterized. The record is from RefSeq and is a predicted model, not a curated record. The transcript is spliced from 3 exons. NCBI's taxonomy places the organism in Eukaryota, Metazoa, Chordata, Mammalia, Carnivora, Felidae.
ACGUGUUGAGAGGACGUCCUAGGCCUGGGGAGGAGGCCAGCUGAGUUUGAAUCUCAGCUCUGCUGAGGACUAACUGGGUGCCCUCAUCCUACCUCCGUCUCCCCAACUGUGAGACAAGGGUAAUCCUACUACCUCAUAGGGCCAUCACGAGAAUACAUGAAAUAAUGCUCAUAAGGCCUCUGGCACAUAGUGAAUGGGGAAUUAGCAGAAGCUAUUGCUGUGUGAGCUUCGUGGGGGAGACAGCAUCUGACCUGGCCCUAAAGCCAAGGCGUGUACGGACAUACGCCCAGGAGCCUUCAUGGUGGAGUUGGGGACUCAGAGACAAACAAGGCACAGUUCCCACGGGCAAAGGGCUUUCAAAGAACUGACAAAUCGCAUUCUUCGGGGCGGAGAAGACAAGCGAUGCCAAUCCUUGGUGAUACCGUUUUUAAAUAUUAGCUACUAAAGGAAGCUGCUAAUGAAAAAGCAAAACACACGGAAGUUACACUGCAGCGAAGACCGUCAACUCAGGGGACUGAGAGUAAUUCACCAGGGCUGCGCUGGAGGAAUGACGGAUUUUCCCGGUGACGGGUCUUUCUCCCCACGGUGGCUAGGGGGCGGUAGAAGCACGCAAAAGCAGUGAGAACGUUCGCGUCCCGCGUUAGCCGGGCCCGCUGACAGGCUGGUCCUGGGCCGAGCUCUGCUCGCCUGCAGCAUGCAUCCACCACCCCACCAAACACCCCAAGUGCCCAUCUCCUCGUCCCUUCCUGCCUUUUGUCUCCAAACAUUUCCUGAUGGACAAAUAGGUCUCAGGCCUGCGUAGGUGCUAAGGAGCAGAAACGUACAUAAACUCUACAGAAAUACUGAGUCUUCACACACGGCAUCAAUCGGUUAGGUUGCCACUAUGCGUUUGAGAAACGCGUAUCUGUUAAGAUGAGGUUUUUUGUUUUUAAUUUUUUAAGCAUGUUUAUUCAUUUUUGAGAGACAGAGAGACGGAGGGCGAGCAGGGGAGAGGCAAAGAGAGAGGGAGACACAGAAUCUGAAGCAGGCUCCGGGCUCCGAGCUGUCAGCACAGAGCCCGACGUGGAGCUCCAACUCACGAACUGUGAGAUCAUGACCUGAGCCGAAGUCGGACGCUUAACCCGCUGAGCCACCCAGGUGCCCCUAGAUGAGGUUUUAUUUGAACACUUGGAGGCCCCUUUAAAAUUCAGACCUGUCUAAACACUGUUCGAAGUUUGGGAGACUACGCUCAACUUGAGGAGGCAAGCCCCAGCUCAGCAGUGAAGCAUGGAAAAACUGUGGCUUCACCAUCACACGGCCUGGGUUCAGCUCUGAGCUGCACCAUGGUCAGCGGCAUGACCUCAGACAAGUUAUUCAACCUCUCUGAGCCUGGGCAUCGACAGCUCUAAAAGGUAAUAAAUAACUUCACGAAUGCUGUAUGCGGUAUUCAGUAGGUGUUCAAUAGGUGUUAGCUCCUCAGCCUCUGCUCUCUGGGAGGAAGGGAAAGGAGGGAAGCGUGGAGCCAACGUGGAGCCACAUAUUCCAUGCGCUUGGCUGCGGACAAGGCCAUUGCACAAAAGGCACUUGUCUAUACGGACACACCCAGGUAACAUCAGUUAAUUCCAAUGCUCCGAAACACUUGAAAUUGUAGGGGAGAAAAUCGAAAGAGUCUGAAGUAUGUUUAUAAGGAGGCGAGAAGAAGAGUUUAGUCCAACGGACGUGUCUUGAGGGCUCCAUCUGUGUGGAGCAGGGGGUCAAAAAAGGGAAGAUCAGGACAAGACGAGGUGGGAGUCUGGCCAAGUGCAGAAGCUUCAUGAGCAAUGAUGUGACACCUGGGCAAAGGCGGUGAGAAGAGACAGGGAGAAGAGCCUCAAAGUGAGGCUGUCUGUUCUCUUGCUUCGCAUGGCUUUCCUAACAGUUUGUGUCAGCUGGUUUCCGGGUAAUUGGGUUUGAUGGCUUAGCCUGGAAUUGAUUGACAUGUGUGCUGAGAGGGGCUCCUGCGAGAAUCAUGAACUUGAUUUGAUCAUGGUGAAUUUUAUAUGUCAUAAAGUGUUUUUAUGAACUGCAGCUACCCCGGAUGACCUCAGUAACAUGUUUAUUCUGGGGAUGUGAAGUUUGCUGUUAGAACAGGGGUGUGAUAUGUAAGAAGGGGCUCGGGUUCAGGACUCUUACACUUGACUAUGAGACCAAUUUUGCUCCUUAUUACUCAUGCAUCAUUAGAUAUGCACCUGAUGACUUCUAAGACAGAACUUGCUGCAAGGUUCCAGGAUGGCCCCCCAAAUUCCUGUCCCUGGGAUGCACGUCCCGGAUAAUCCCCUCCCCCAAGUGUGGUGGGAUCUUUCAGUAUGGUGGGAUAUCGGCCCCUGAUUAGCUUACAUUGUAUGGCAAAGGUGAGGGGAUUUUGCUGAAGUAAUCAAGGUACCAAGUCAGUCAAUGUUGGGUUAAUAAAAGGGAGAUUAUCCUGGGUGGGCCUGACUUAAUCAGGCACACUCUUGAAAAGAGCGUCUAGAGGUCAGAGACAGAAGUCAGGAGAAUUUUCCUCAUGACCUUGAAGAAGCAGACUGCCUUGUUGUGGAGCAGACCGCAUACCAGAGAGCGGCCCUCAUGGAAGGUCAGCAAAACGGUAGGGACCUAGUGUAACCACCAGAGGGAACUUUAGAGGAGAUGAGAUCACAGCCCAGCUGACAUCGUGACUGCAGCCUUGUGAGGCCCCGGGCAGAGGACACGCUAAGCCACGCUGGACUCUUUAUCCGCGGAAAUGUGUCCAUUGAAGCCUCUAAGUUUGUGGUGACUUGUUACCAGGAACGGAACAAUAACCCAGAACCUGCAUCACCUACUUUACAGAGUUGUUGUGGGGAUUAGAGAAGAGAAGUACCAGAGACUGAAUCUUCUGCUGAGUAGACGUGAACCUUGGACAUGAUCUGGUCCAGCUUCUUCAGUUUACAAAAACACCCCCCUUCCUUCGUCCAGCGUGCGAUGCCGAAGCCCAUGGAAGGGUCCUCGUGGCCACGCUGCUGCCACCCAGCUGCUUUCCCAAUUAGGCCCUGAAAGGUUUCCCCUGACUUUUUAGGUCCCUUCUCAGCGGAAUUCUCCUUUUUUCCUUGGUAGACGUCUCAGAAACUCGGUCAGACGUGGCCAGGGGCCCGGAUCCUCAUGAUGGUACCUGCAUUUCUCAAGAAUGACCCUCUCUCUCCAGGGCUGAGCCAGCCACCUACCUAUAAGGAGGGGGGCCUGCAGGAGGUGACCAAACUCUGACUCCGUGGCUGGGUUAAGCUCAUGAGCAGGGACAGGUGCUUCGACACGCUGCCCAUAUUCGUAGUGAGAACAGGAUAUGAGCCCUGAGGCCACUGAAGAUGGAGGAGAAUCUUCCAGGCAGCGCAAAGUCUAAAGUCCUGCGGUUUAUAAACCUCUCCCUCUUGCCGCCAGGGCCUGUCCCUGUGGGCGUUGCCUGCGAGUCCUGGGUUUGUGGAUCUGGAUGUGCAGGAACAGAGAGGAAGCCAGAGUGAGGACGGUUGAGAUCAUCUUGUUCUGCUAAGUUGGAUGGCAAACCUACACUUUCAGAACCGCACACUGAGAAAUGCAAGGCAACUGAGUGUCCUCUGCAGUGAACACAUCAGCAUGAAUGUCCCUGCAGGCCAAGUAGAGAGACAGGUCAGGUUGGGGGCACAAAGGAAAGAGCCCAACCAGAAAACAGUAGCUCAGGAUCGGCACCCGGACAGGGUUAAUGCCAGAAUCUGACUGCAGCUGGAUAUUUUGAGUUUUCCAUAUGUCCCAGGGUUUUCCCCUGCUUUGGGUUAUUGGCAAAUGGUAUUCUGUUAGUUCUUUAAAUUUUUUUUUAAUGUUUAUCUA